GAUGAACGCUGGCGGCGUGCCUAAUACAUGCAAGUCGAACGGACAGGCGCUGAUCUUGCGGGGUGGACGUGUGGCGAACGGGUGAGUAAAACGCGAGUAAAACCUCCCUGUAAUAGGGAUAAAACUACGAAAAUGCGGAUCAAAUACGAUAGAAUAUCUUGAUGCACAGUGGGCGAUGGAAAGAUACGGUGGUUGGGGAUGGUAUCGAGGGAUCCCAGCUUGAUUGUGAGGUAGGUGCUUAACCAGCUUACGAAGGGUAGCCGACCUGAGAGGGUGAUCGGCCACACUGGAACUGCGACACGGACCAGACUACUACGGGAGGGAGCAGUAGGGAACCUUACGCAAUGGGAGAAAGGCUGACGGAGUCACGCCGCGUGUGUGAUGAAGGUCUUCGGAUCGUAAAAAUCUGUUAUUAGGGAAGAACAUAUGUGUAAGUAACUGUGCACAUCUUGACGGUACCUAAUCAGAAAGCAACGGCUAACUACGUG
Molecule: ribosomal RNA, 488 nt
Filed under: uncultured bacterium
Lineage: Bacteria
Description: partial 16S ribosomal RNA
Rfam family: Bacterial small subunit ribosomal RNA
Source: RNAcentral